This 332-nucleotide unclassified non-coding RNA is filed under the name soil metagenome. Its description in RNAcentral is "partial contains 5.8S ribosomal RNA, internal transcribed spacer 2, and large subunit ribosomal RNA". The stretch from base 1 to 120 matches the Rfam family "5.8S ribosomal RNA", at positions 35 to 154 of the family's 154-position model. The record is from RNAcentral.
GAUGAAGAACGCAGCGAAAUGCGAUAAGUAGUGUGAAUUGCAGAAUUCAGUGAAUCAUCGAAUCUUUGAACGCACAUUGCGCCCUGUGGUAUUCCUUAGGGCAUGCCUGUUCGAGCGUCAUUUAAACCUUCAAGCUAAGCUUGGUGUUGGGUGACUGUCCGCUUCACGGCGGACUCGCCUCAAAAUUAUUGGCGGCCGGUACAUUGGCUUCGAGCGCAGCAGAAACGCGAACUCGGGCCCGUCGUAUUGGCUCCCAGAAGCUAUCUUCACAAUUUUGACCUCGGAUCAGGUAGGGAUACCCGCUGAACUUAAGCAUAUCAAUAAGCGGAGGA